Microtus oregoni (creeping vole) is the source of this 334-nucleotide long non-coding RNA. RefSeq lists it as uncharacterized. Lineage: Eukaryota; Metazoa; Chordata; Mammalia; Rodentia; Cricetidae. The record is from RefSeq and is a predicted model, not a curated record. The transcript has 3 exons.
AGCAAAUACUUGGUUGUCUCUGAGCCUCUUUGGUGCCCAUCAUCCUCUUGAAGUAAUUGGUGCUGCCAGGAACAGUUGUGUCUCUUGUCAUGAAAACCUACCAAACAUGACUACAAGCUUGAAUGUUAUGGAUGACUAUCUAUACAGAAGAGCUUCGUCUCCCGAAAACAGAUAUUUAGCGCCUUGCAUCCCGAAUGCAAAUCCUCAUUCCCUGAGAGUGGACAUUGAAGGUCUGUCUCCCGAGAACAGACUAGAUACUAUGCCUUUCAGGAUGCUUUGCCAUCCCGAGAUCAAAGCCUCGUCUUCGAGAAUAGAGAACUAAAGCCUUGCCUCC